This is a non-coding RNA of Cricetulus griseus (Chinese hamster), 533 nucleotides long. The record is from RefSeq and is a predicted model, not a curated record. Lineage: Eukaryota; Metazoa; Chordata; Mammalia; Rodentia; Cricetidae.
GCCCAGGGAAACUGGAGCGAAAACGGACGUGGGCCGCUGCCGGAGGAAGCCAGCAGGCCUCUCUCCGGGAUCGCGAGAGAGGGCUCGCUGUAGGAAAACACGUGCAAAAUAGGCGCAAAACACUGCGUCGUCAAGGCUGCAAUGUCUGGUACAAAAUAGUGUUCUCAUAGCAACGAAUAAAUUGCCGGUCUGUUCUCAGUAUUACACACAUUGAUAGGUUGAUGGUGCAGUUUGGCGUGACCUUCCAGGGAGAGUUUUGAAUCCUAUGUUCCUGAGGAACUUGGCUGUAGUGUUUUGUUAUUUUAUGGAGUGCAAUGAACCUUCAAAGCAGGCCAAGCAAGUGUGGGGAGAAAGAGAACCGGCCAUUCCUGAUUGCAGAGGAUCCUAAAUGUUGCCUGCUCCCUAAGUCUUUCUCCACCUCUUCCUCAGUGGUUCCAUAGUUCCACAAGCUCUUGGAAUGGUUUAUAGUGCUUUUAUUUAUUUGUUUCUACCACAUAAGUUUCUAGCGAAUAAAGUUGUGUUAUACAAUGGGA